AUGGCUUCAGUAACUGUAUCCAAAGAACUUUCUUGUCCCGUGUGCUGUGAAAUCUUCAAGAAUCCUGUUCUUUUAUCAUGCAGUCACAGUGUGUGUAAAGAGUGUCUUCAACAGUUCUGGAGAACCAAGACAACUCAGGAGUGUCCUGUUUGUAGGACAAGAUCAUCAAAAGAUGAACCUCCUCUUAAUCUAGUAUUGAAAAACCUGUGUGAGUUGUUCCUGAAGGAGAGAAAUGCGACAUCAGGAUCUGAGGAGAUCUGCAGUUUACACAGUGAGAAACUCAAACUCUUUUGUCUGGAGGACAAACAGCCUGCUUGUGUAGUGUGUGCUACUUCACAACAACACGACAAUCACAAAUUCAGACCCAUCAGUGAAGUGGUUUCUUCAUAUAAGGAGGAGCUCAAUACAGCACUGAAAUAUUUACAGGAGAAACUGAAACACAAUGAAGAAAAGAAAGCAGAGUUUGAGAAAACAGUUCAACACAUCAAGUUUCAAGCUGAUCACACAGAGCGUCAGAUUAAACAUGAGUUUGAGAAGCUUCAUCAGUUUCUCCGAGAUGAAGAAGAAGCUGCAAUCACUGCACUGAGGGAGGAAGAGGAGCAGAAGAAGCAGAUGAUGAAGGAGAAGCUGGAGGAGAUGAACACACACAUCUCAGCUCUUUCACACACGAUCAAAGACACGGAGGAGAUGCUGAAAGCCAAUGACGUCUGCUUUCUAAAGGAGUUUCCAGUCUCGAUGGAAAGAGUCCAGAUCUCACAGCCGGAUCCACAGACGCCUUCUGGAGCUUUGAUUCAUGUGUGUCGCUACUUGGGGAACCUGCCGUUCAGAGUCUGGAAGAAGAUGCAGGACAUCGUCCACUACACUCCUGUCAUUCUGGAUCCAAACACUGCAAAUCCACGUCUCGUCCUGUCUGAUGAUCUGACCAGUGUGAGGUUCAACAACAAAAAUCAACCUGUUCCUGAUAAUCCAGAAAGAUUUAACUAUUAUUGGUGUGUUCUGGCUUCAGAGGGUUUUACCUCAGGGAAACACUGCUGGGAUGUGGAGGUUAAAAAGUAUUGUUACUGGUGGAGUCUUGGAGUAACUACAGCAUCAAAGGACAGGAAAAGAAGUGAUUUCUUUAACACUGGUGUCUGGAGUGUGCAGUGUGGUACUACUGUAGGCUCUGGCGUUACUGUUAAUCAGGAUCUUGAGCGUGUGAGAGUUGAUCUAGACUGUGACAGAGGAAUAGUGUCUUUCUCUGAUCCUGUAACAAACACACAUCUACACACAUUCACAACCACCUUCACUGAAUCUGUCUUUCCUUUCUUUAAUGGUUCAGCCUCUCUGAGGAUCUUACCGUUCAGUAGUCAGUAAAAGUUACACCUGUAGGUCUGGAUCUUCUUUCUUCAUGUUUUCAAUAUUUAAUCCACAUUAAACCCGGCUCACACUGUGCAAUGUUUAAUAAUCCUAUAGAAUCCUGUCAAUCCUUCAUAAACGUGACUCUUGUGUCACACUGUAAUAUCUCAUAAUGUCAUAAUGUCAGACUGAACAACAACAAACACACACAUGCACACAAACACACACAUGCAAGAAAACUCAUGCAGAGACUGACAUAAUCCAUCUUUGACACUUCCACUAACCUGCGUUCUGACAUUAUAUCUCACAACAACCUUAAAGGGGUGGUCCAGAAUGUAAUUUUAAGGCUUGGUUGUGUUUAUAAGAUGCAAAGUGUGUGCUUAUGGUUCACUUGAAGGAAAUAGUGUUAUUUUUUCAUAUAUGUCACUUUGAUUAUACACAGCUACUCAGCUAACAUGAAAACGACUGUCAUGUUUCCUAGUUCCCCUAAAAGACCCACCCUCAAGUGACUCUGAUUGGUCAUCGUCAUAAUGUGCUGCUAUUGGCGGAUCGGCUCCACAUCACGCCCGUAAA
Non-coding RNA from Danio rerio (zebrafish), 1908 nucleotides. NCBI's taxonomy places the organism in Eukaryota, Metazoa, Chordata, Actinopteri, Cypriniformes, Danionidae. The record is from RefSeq and is a predicted model, not a curated record.